Homo sapiens (human) is the source of this 1668-nucleotide long non-coding RNA. Ensembl annotates it as Pvt1 oncogene. Its record names the gene PVT1. The record is from Ensembl. NCBI's taxonomy places the organism in Eukaryota, Metazoa, Chordata, Mammalia, Primates, Hominidae.
AGCACAUGGGCCCGCGGGCCGGGCGGGCUCGGGGCGGCCGGGACGAGGAGGGGCGACGACGAGCUGCGAGCAAAGAUGUGCCCCGGGACCCCCGGCACCUUCCAGUGGAUUUCCUUGCGGAAAGGAUGUUGGCGGUCCCUGUGACCUGUGGAGACACGGCCAGAUCUGCCCUCCAGAUUUAUUAGGAGAAAAACCUUCCCGGAAGCUGCAGAAGGACAAAUACAGAAUCCGUGUCUGGGAGAAACCUCGUGGCCUGGUCUCCAUUAUUUGAGAUGAGUUACAUCUUGGAGCUGACCAUACUCCCUGGAGCCUUCUCCCGAGGUGCGCGGGUGACCUUGGCACAUACAGCCAUCAUGAUGGUACUUUAAGUGGAGGCUGAAUCAUCUCCCCUUUGAGCUGCUUGGCACGUGGCUCCCUUGGUGUUCCCCUUUUACUGCCAGGACACUGAGAUUUGGAGAGAAUCCUGUUACACCUGGGAUUUAGGCACUUUCAAUCUGAAAAAAUACAUAUCCUUUCAGCACUCUGGACGGACUUGAGAACUGUCCUUACGUGACCUAAAGCUGGAGUAUUUUGAGAUUGGAGAAUUAAGGCCUUCAGUGGGUUGAAUGAGGCCCAACCCACAUUGAAGAGGACCAUCUGCUUUACUCAGUCUCCUGGUUGAAGUGAUAAUCUCAUCUGGACAUACUCAGAAAUGCUGUUUAACCAGCUCUCUGGAAAUCCUGUGGCCCAGUCAAGUUGACACACAAAAUUAACCAUCACACUGCAGAGACACAGUCUAUCCCAAUACCUGUAUUUACUGGAGUGUGGGCACCCUGGCUUCAAGCUCACGAGAAACCAGAAGGAAGUCACUGUGCAUAGCCAUCCCCUAAGAAGAGGGCAUUCCUGCUCUUCCUUCUCCAUGGCUAGAGGAUCUACAUGAACUAUUUAGAUUUUUUCUACCUGGGAGAUUUAACUCCUCUCUCCUAUUUAUUUAUUUAUAUAUCAGCAUGGACUUGCAGGCCAACAGAGAUUUUGAGAAACACAUUGAAGGAUCUGUUAACACUUGAUAUACCCAAUAAAAGCAGUGGUUGUGCCAGUGCUGAUCUGUCUUGAUGUGAAUGUGAACAAUGGGAACCUGAGCUGAGCAGUUAAUGCUAGGGUGACAGAAACUGGACCUCUCCCAAGACAUGUGACAGAGUAAUACAGCAGCCAACUUCUUCGCCAAAUUAAAGUUUUACAAGAUUUAACCUGUCAUCAAGACCUGGGAUUUUGGUGAAGGACAGAAUAACGGGCUCCCAGAUUCACAAGCCCCACCAAGAGGAUCACCCCAGGAACGCUUGGAGGCUGAGGAGUUCACUGAGGCUACUGCAUCUUGAGACUCAGGAUGAAGACCCAGCUUGGGGCUGUCAAAGGUUUUUUGCAUGUCUGACACCCAUGACUCCACCUGGACCUUAUGGCUCCACCCAGAAGCAAUUCAGCCCAACAGGAGGACAGCUUCAACCCAUUACGAUUUCAUCUCUGCCCCAACCACUCAGCAGCAAGCACCUGUUACCUGUCCACCCCCACCCCUUCCCCCAAACUGCCUUUGAAAAAUCCCUAACCUAUGAGCUUUGAAUAAGAUGAGUACGAACUUCAUCGCCCACGUGGCGUGGCCGGCCUCGUGUCUAUUAAAUUCUUUUUCUACUACAA